UUGCAUGUUUGAAUUCAAAUUUUGAAUCACAAAAGGCUUUAAGAGAUUUUGUUUACAUCCCUGUAACCUUUGGAUUUUCAAACCAAUAGGUUUGAUGUAUAAAAAGGGUUUAAUGCAUAUAUGAGCUAUCCCAUAAUUUUUUGAUAAUUAUUUGGAGUUGAAAAAGUAUUUUAUUUAAAUGGAUAUAUAGCCCUAAGGGCAUUUAUAGGGCAAAUGUAUUUUUAUAUAUUUUAUUUUGAAGAGAAACUACUUCCAAAAGUUGUAUCAUGGUAGAACAUGAUUUUACAAAUUUUCUGGAAUUCAAUUGGACCAAUUUGGAGUUCAAACUCAAAACAUAUCAAAGAAAUGGGAAAAACAGAAAAAGAAAAGGUCUAAAAGAAAAAAAAAGGGGUAAACGGACCGGCCCGGCCGAAUUGGGCCGAACCGGCCCAACUCCCCCGCGCGCGCCACAGCCCAGCUGGCCC
RNAcentral lists this long non-coding RNA (464 nucleotides) under Brachypodium distachyon (stiff brome). RNAcentral describes it as "long non-coding RNA (BDIS_LNC001989)". The record is from RNAcentral. Lineage: Eukaryota; Viridiplantae; Streptophyta; Magnoliopsida; Poales; Poaceae.